This 943-nucleotide ribosomal RNA is filed under the name Pseudoshiraia conidialis. RNAcentral describes it as "Shiraiaceae sp. CLH-2021a partial large subunit ribosomal RNA". It matches the Rfam family "Eukaryotic large subunit ribosomal RNA", at positions 22 to 979 of the family's 3401-position model. The record is from RNAcentral. Lineage: Eukaryota; Fungi; Ascomycota; Dothideomycetes; Pleosporales; Shiraiaceae.
UACCCGCUUGAAACUUAAGCAUAUCAAUAAGCGGAGGAAAAGAAACCAACAGGGAUUGCCCUAGUAACGGCGAGUGAAGCGGCAACAGCUCAAAUUUGAAAUCUGGCUCUUUCAGAGUCCGAGUUGUAAUUUGCAGAGGGCGCUUUGGCGUCGGCAGCGGUCCAAGUUCUUUGGAACAGGACGUCACAGAGGGUGAGAAUCCCGUACGUGGUCGCUAGCCUUCGCCGUGUAAAGCCCCUUCGACGAGUCGAGUUGUUUGGGAAUGCAGCUCUAAAUGGGAGGUAAAUUUCUUCUAAAGCUAAAUACUGGCCAGAGACCGAUAGCGCACAAGUAGAGUGAUCGAAAGAUGAAAAGCACUUUGGAAAGAGAGUCAAAUAGCACGUGAAAUUGUUGAAAGGGAAGCGCUUGCAGCCAGACUUACCUGUAGUUGCUUAUCUGGACUUUUGUCCAGUGCACUCUUCUACGGGUAGGCCAGCAUCAGUUUGGGCGGUUGGAUAAAGGUCUCUGUCACGUACCUCCCUUCGGGGUGGCCUUAUAGGGGAGACGUCAUGCAACCAGCCUGGACUGAGGUCCGCGCAUCUGCUAGGAUGCUGGCGUAAUGGCUGUAAGCGGCCCGUCUUGAAACACGGACCAAGGAGUCUAACAUCUAUGCGAGUGUUUGGGUGUCAAGCCCAGACGCGUAAUGAAAGUGAACGGAGGUGGGAACCCUUUGGGUGCACCAUCGACCGAUCCUGAUGUCUUCGGAUGGAUUUGAGUAAGAGCAUGGCUGUUGGGACCCGAAAGAUGGUGAACUAUGCUUGAAUAGGGUGAAGCCAGAGGAAACUCUGGUGGAGGCUCGCAGCGGUUCUGACGUGCAAAUCGAUCGUCAAAUUUGGGCAUAGGGGCGAAAGACUAAUCGAACUAUCUAGUAGCUGGUUCCUGCCGAAGUUUCCCCCUCAAGGAA